AUUGAACGCUGGCGGCAUGCUUUACACAUGCAAGUCGAACGGCAGCACGGGUGCUUGCACCUGGUGGCGAGUGGCGGACGGGUGAGUAAUGCAUCGGAACGUGUCCUGAAGUGGGGGAUAACGCAUCGAAAGAUGUGCUAAUACCGCAUAUUCUCUGAGGAGGAAAGUAGGGGAUCGAAAGACCUUAUGCUUUUGGAGCGGCCGAUGUCUGAUUAGCUAGUUGGUAGGGUAAUGGCUUACCAAGGCGACGAUCAGUAGUUGGUCUGAGAGGACGACCAGCCACACUGGGACUGAGACACGGCCCAGACUCCUACGGGAGGCAGCAGUGGGGAAUUUUGGACAAUGGGCGCAAGCCUGAUCCAGCAAUGCCGCGUGAGUGAAGAAGGCCUUCGGGUUGUUAAAGGACUCUUUCCUAGUUGUAGAAGAAAAAGUACGUAGACUAAUAAUACAUGAUUCAUGACGGUAUCAACAGAAGAAGAC
This 480-nucleotide ribosomal RNA is filed under the name uncultured bacterium. RNAcentral's name for it is "bacterial SSU rRNA". It matches the Rfam family "Bacterial small subunit ribosomal RNA", at positions 30 to 492 of the family's 1533-position model. The record is from RNAcentral.